Molecule: ribosomal RNA, 331 nt
Filed under: uncultured bacterium
Lineage: Bacteria
Description: bacterial SSU rRNA
Rfam family: Bacterial small subunit ribosomal RNA
Source: RNAcentral
UCCGUAGGCGGUGCGGCAAGUCGGAAGUGAAAUCUCUGGGCUUAACUCAGAGGCUGCUUCCGAAACUGCCGUGCUCGAGUGUGAGAGAGGCGAGUGGAAUUACGGGUGUAGCGGUGAAAUGCGUAGAUAUCCGUAGGAACAUCCGAGGCGAAAGCGGCUCGCUGGAUCACAACUGACGCUGAGGGACGAAAGCUAGGGGGAGCAAACAGGAUUAGAUACCCUGGUAGUCCUAGCCCUAAACCAUCAGGACUUGGGGUUUGCCCUGUACGGGGCAAGUCCCGGAGCUAACGCGUUAAGUCCUGCGCCUGGGGAGUACGGUCGCAAGGCUGAA